RNAcentral lists this long non-coding RNA (564 nucleotides) under Homo sapiens (human). RNAcentral describes it as "HSALNT0261283". Lineage: Eukaryota; Metazoa; Chordata; Mammalia; Primates; Hominidae. The record is from RNAcentral.
AUUGAUUGCAGUUUGGUUGAUAUUUAAGGACCCAGGGAUGGAGCAGUGUCCUCACUCAUUGCACUCACCCUACCCAGGAUCUAUUUUUAGAGAAAAUCCCUUAAUCAGAAAGGAAGACUAAGAGAAAAAGGAAGAAAAGAUCUACAAAACAACUAGGAAAAAGUAACAAAAUGGCAGUAGUAAGCCCUUACCUAUCAAUAAUUACCAUGAAUGUAAAUGGAUUAAAUUCUCCAGUUAAAAGACAGACUGGCUGAACGGAUUAAAAAACAUGACCUAACUAAAGUUGGCCAUUGAACAAUAUGAGUUUGAGCUGCAGGAGUCCAAUGUCAUGCAGAUUUUCUUCCACCUCUGCCACUCCGAGUCAGCAAGACCAGCCCUUCCUCCUCCUCUCCCUCAGACUCCUCGAUGUGAAGACCACGAGGAUGAAGGCCUUUGUGUGAUGAUCACUUCCACUUGAUAAACAUUAAAUAUAUUUUAUCUUCCUUAUGAUUUUCUUGAUAACAUUUUUUCUCUAGGUUGCUUUAUUGGAAAAUAUAGUGUAUAAUAGAUUCAACAUAUAAAAUA